CGUGUAGGUGGGUCUCUAAGUCGGUGGUGAAAUCCUGCAGCUUAACUGUAGAAUUGCCCUCGAUACUGGAGAUCUUGAGUGCGGUAGAGGGAGAUGGAAUUCAUGGUGUAGCGGUGAAAUGUGUAGAUAUCAUGAAGAACACCAGUCGCGAAGGCGGUCUCCUGGUCCGCAACUGACACUGAGGCGCGAAAGCGUGGGGAGCAAACA
This 207-nucleotide ribosomal RNA is filed under the name uncultured bacterium. RNAcentral describes it as "partial 16S ribosomal RNA". It matches the Rfam family "Bacterial small subunit ribosomal RNA", at positions 568 to 774 of the family's 1533-position model. The record is from RNAcentral.